AUUGUCUUUUCACACAGAUAGUUUUAUGAAGAGAUGUCCAUUUGGAAGUUUCAAGGUAUUUGUUCACUGGGUUAGCAUUUUUUGGGAUGACCACUAUCUACAAAAAGAUAACCACAGCUUUUCUCCUUUUUUGACCAAGACUUUGAGUAUAAGAAAAUAGCAAUGAACAGCAACUGGCAACUAUAGCUUCAGAUCAAAGAACAACUUCCCAUGGGUACAGUGCAGACACCACUAUUGGUUGUAAAAUGUCAGGAAGGGCCAUUGAUAACAUAAUUUUAGAAACAGGAUAUCAGUAUAGAUUAGUUACAUCAUAGGAGUCCGAUCAUCCAAGCCCUCUUGUGUCAAAAUCAUAGAUAGAUGUUUGGAGGUUAAAUAGCAAUUUUUAAAAAAUCUCCAAGAUUUACUUUUCACAGCUGGAUUUUUCUAGCAGUGACUAUAACAGAGUAACAUUUCUUCUCUGCUACUUUCUUGGUAGUCCAUUGAAAACUGUAUCCACAGGAAAUGAUUCCCUUGGUUCAGUUAUACAAUAAAGUUCGCCAAAUGUUUGAGCUAUCGCGUAACUGCAGUUCAGCUCUAGAAAAUGAGGCGUCCUUGUAGUAGAAACAUAGGCUUUGGGAGACAGACAACCUAGAUAGAGCCUAUUUUGUGUUCUGCCACCAAACCGAAUUUUAGGCGUCAGUUAAUCCUGGGUAUCAGAUGUUUUUCACCUACUUUGAGGGCUUAGAUGCACCGCGUUGCACUAGAGUAUGAUGACAGAUCGGGACAUUUGGGAGGUUAUUUCACCAAAUGUUCACAUUCAUGGGGGCGGGGGGCGUGUUAAACCGUGCGUUCCGUCUGCCUCCAGCCAGAGCUAACAGGGGCUGCGAGACCACUGCCUGUCAAUCUACCGGGAAACCAGGAACCCGGCACUGCGGGAUUUCGGGCAGGGCUCCUCCCGCUCCAAACUAAACUUAUUUUGCCCACCGCGACAGGACCUAAGGAAAUCACGGGGUCGAAGGGGCCAAACCCGCACUUCUGGAAAGAGUGCCCACGAGGUGCCUUCGUGGGGUUGAGAGGUACAUUCCUAGUCAGUAAGCAUCGGCUCGAUUCGCAGUCAGGAUUUUAAGAUCGGGGGUGGUCGAUUUAUUUCUCCGAUGGCAACUGUUUUCACAAAACGCGCCAGACGGACGGCAAAGAGCGCCUUUUCUUUCAGACUGCCCUACAAAAGGCCACGAGCCACCGCACAGAAACUGAGCAUUAUUUUUAGGUCAAAUAUUUGUCUCGGAGGGACCAAAGCCGGUCAAGCAGAGAGGAGAAGCGAGCCUCGCCCCUAAGCCCUAAUAUGCUCCAGGGCGGGGCGCCGAGCUGAGCGGAGGAGGGAACUAUAUUUCCCGCGGAGGGGCACACAGCAGUGGCCACACACGCCCCAAAACGCGCUGUGUGCUGGUUGCUUAGUUGGCGCGGCCGAGGCUUCUUUCCGCGUUCGUUUUUUGACAAGGAAGCUCUGAUAGGCCAGAGAGACCCUGCAGUGGUUGGCCGGAAAGAGUCGAGCCGCCUGAUUGGUCGCGCUGCACCUGCAAUGCGUCAAACCGCGGCGAGCGAGGAGGGCUCCGCGUGAACGGUCGUGGCUGGCGGGGGAGCCCGCGGCCAGCCGGAGGGAGCGGCUACUCCUAGGGCCGCCAUCUUUACUAGUGGCAGCGCAGACCGCCGCAGACACGGGGGAGCUUUAAGCCUCUGCGACAGAAGUUUUGUUUGGGGUUUCUUUUUCUUUUGCGGCUCCCAUGCAUGGAAGACCAAAGAGAACUGCGAAGGCCUCGGGGGAACUUGCAGAUCUAGAGCUGUACGGAUUUGGGAGGGAGUAGAUCGUCAGCAGCCUGACUCCACGGUGGCUGUGUACCUGGAGGCUGGGACCUGGGCAAGUGACGGCAGUGUCCUGGCCUUGAUGAUGGUCCGCUAUUCCCUGCAAAUGAAGAACUCUCGGGAACUCUCUUCCUGAGCCCUGCCGACAUGAAGAAUGAGCCCCGUCCGCUGAGCCACCAGCUUCCUGCUUGAUCUUCCAAUUCAGGAACACCUAAUUAGGCAGCUCGUUGUCACCUGCAUAAAUCACAGAUCACAGGAUGGCUUUAUUGCUGUGCACUAGCCUGUAUCUUUUGUUCUGUCUUCAGCCCAAGUUUAAUAUUAAUAUUGAUUCAUCAUAUUGAACACUCAACUUAAUUGUGAGCACAUUACAUCUUAGAGUCAACACCAUUGGUUUAGAAUGCGUUACAAAGAAGAUAUGAAUUGUUUCCUAAAUAGCUACGCCUGGGGUUAGUUGCAUAAGUAACAGUAAUUAAGCAAACGCCUGAGAUGAUUACUUACUAAUUAAAAUGUAUUUUAUUUCUCUACUUAAAAUUUACUUUGUAACCAUAUCUGUGAAAACUAUUAAUAGAAGUAUAAAGUGUGCCUAUUAAA
Long non-coding RNA from Chinchilla lanigera (long-tailed chinchilla), 2430 nucleotides. RefSeq lists it as uncharacterized. The transcript is spliced from 2 exons. NCBI's taxonomy places the organism in Eukaryota, Metazoa, Chordata, Mammalia, Rodentia, Chinchillidae. The record is from RefSeq and is a predicted model, not a curated record.